AUGGCCACAUCACAUUGAAACACUGGUUCCCGUAUGAUCACUGAAGUUAAGCAACAUUAAGCUUGGUCAGUAUCUAGAUGGGUGACUACUUGGGAAUACCAAAUGCUGUAAG
This is a non-coding RNA of Acanthosepion pharaonis, 112 nucleotides long. The record is from the annotation of a GenBank genome assembly. Lineage: Eukaryota; Metazoa; Mollusca; Cephalopoda; Sepiida; Sepiidae.